Otolemur garnettii (small-eared galago) is the source of this 585-nucleotide long non-coding RNA. RefSeq lists it as uncharacterized. The record is from RefSeq and is a predicted model, not a curated record. The transcript is spliced from 3 exons. NCBI's taxonomy places the organism in Eukaryota, Metazoa, Chordata, Mammalia, Primates, Galagidae.
GUCUUUGUCAAGGCCAAGAAGGAGCUGUGAAGAGCUCUUCUGUGAAGGGGACUGGAGGACAAGAUUUGCAGAAGCUCUGAGUCCCUGCCGGGGAGAAGAAAAAGAUCUGCAUGUUUCACGGAUGCUGGAGCCAGAUUCUGAGAGGAAUGACAAAGUCAUUGCUAAUUGCAGCCAAUUACUCUAUCGGGCGGUAUUGGUGAGGAAAAUGACUUCAAGUCUGGAGUUGUCUUGGAAAGAAUUUCCAUACUGGAACCGGCAGCUUCCACAUGGGAGCUCACAUCUCAAUGAAAACAAGAAAUCGGAGGCCUCACUGACAACUCAUUCUCUCCACCUUCGUUCUGGGGAACGGCGACUUCCUGUUCCAGCUGCCAUAUUGUUGUCACAACCCCUGAUGCACCAUCACUUACAAACAGCCAUAAUUAUGCAUGGGGGAAAAAAAGCCACAGAUAAUAGGCUUCCAUUAGAUUAAGUAGUUAUAUGGAUCAAAAAAAAAAUAAAACCUAUACUUUGGCUAAUUAAACCCACUCACCAUCUGAUUAAGAUGUGUUGCGAGACCAUGGAAAAGUACCAACCGCUAACUGUAAG